GAUGAACGCUGGCGGCGUGCCUAAUACAUGCAAGUCGAGCGAACAGAUGAGGAGCUUGCUCCUCUGACGUUAGCGGCGGACGGGUGAGUAACACGUGGAUAACCUACCUAUAAGACUGGGAUAACUUCGGGAAACCGGAGCUAAUACCGGAUAAUAUAUUGAACCGCAUGGUUCAAUAGUGAAAGACGGUUUUGCUGUCACUUAUAGAUGGAUCCGCGCCGCAUUAGCUAGUUGGUAAGGUAACGGCUUACCAAGGCAACGAUGCGUAGCCGACCUGAGAGGGUGAUCGGUCACACUGGAACUGAGACACGGUCCAGACUCCUACGGGAGGCAGCAGUAGGGAAUCUUCCGCAAUGGGCGAAAGCCUGACGGAGCAACGCCGCGUGAGUGAUGAAGAUCUUCGGAUCGUAAAACUCUGUUAUUAGGGAAGAACAAAUGUGUAAGUAACUAUGCACGUCUUGACGGUACCUAAUCAGAAAGCCACGGCUAACUACGUG
RNAcentral lists this ribosomal RNA (497 nucleotides) under uncultured bacterium. RNAcentral describes it as "partial 16S ribosomal RNA". It matches the Rfam family "Bacterial small subunit ribosomal RNA", at positions 28 to 507 of the family's 1533-position model. The record is from RNAcentral.